AUUGAACGCUGGCGGCAUGCCUUACACAUGCAAGUCGAACGGCAGCACGGGUGCUUGCCCCUGGUGGCGAGUGGCGAACGGGUGAGUAAUACAUCGGAACAUGUCCUGUAGUGGGGGAUAGCCCGGCGAAAGCCGGAUUAAUACCGCAUACGAUCUACGGAUGAAAGCGGGGGACCUUCGGGCCUCGCGCUAUAGGGUUGGCCGAUGGCUGAUUAGCUAGUUGGUGGGGUAAAGGCCUACCAAGGCGACGAUCAGUAGCUGGUCUGAGAGGACGACCAGCACACUGGGAACGGGAACCGGCCCAGACCCCCACGGGGGGCAGGAGGGGGGAAUUUUGGAAAAGGGGGGAAAGCCUGAUCCAGCAAUGCCGGGUGUGUGAAGAAGGCCUUGGGGUUGGAAAGCACUUUUGGCCGGAAAAAAAUCCUUGGCCCUAAUACGGUCGGGGGGUGGAGGUACCGGAAGAAAAAGCCCCGGCUAACUACG
Molecule: ribosomal RNA, 483 nt
Filed under: uncultured bacterium
Lineage: Bacteria
Description: partial 16S ribosomal RNA
Rfam family: Bacterial small subunit ribosomal RNA
Source: RNAcentral